RNAcentral lists this ribosomal RNA (301 nucleotides) under uncultured bacterium. RNAcentral describes it as "partial 16S ribosomal RNA". It matches the Rfam family "Bacterial small subunit ribosomal RNA", at positions 509 to 809 of the family's 1533-position model. The record is from RNAcentral.
CAGUAGCCGCGGGAAAACGGAGGGGGCUAGCGUUGUUCGGAAUUACUGGGCGUAAAGCGCACGUAGGCGGCUUGGUAAGUUAGAGGUGAAAGCCCGGAGCUCAACUCCGGAAUUGCCUUUAAGACUGCCGAGCUAGUAGGUGAGAGAGGUAAGUGGAAUUCCGAGUGUAGAGGUGAAAUUCGUAGAUAUUCGGAAGAACACCAGUGGCGAAGGCGGCUUACUGGCUCAUUCUAGACGCUGAGGUGCGAAAGCGUGAGGAGCAAACAGGAUUAGAUACCCGUGUAGUCCCUGUCUCUUAUAU